CCUACGGGAGGCAGCAGUGAGGAAUAUUGGUCAAUGGUCGGGAGACUGAACCAGCCAAGCCGCGUGAGGGAUGAAGGUACAGAGUAUCGUAAACCUCUUUUGUCAGGGAACAAAGGCGGGGACGCGUCCCCGGAUGAGUGUACCUGAAGAAAAAGCAUCGGCUAACUCCGUGCCAGCAGCCGCGGUAAUACGGAGGAUGCGAGCGUUAUCCGGAUUUAUUGGGUUUAAAGGGUGCGCAGGCGGUCUGUUAAGUCAGCGGUAAAAGCCCGGGGCUCAACCCCGGCCCGCCGUUGAAACUGGCAGUCUCGAGUUGGAGAGACGUAUGCGGAAUGCGCGGUGGAGCGGUGAAAUGCAUAGAUAUCGCGCAGAACUCCGAUUGCGAAGGCAGCAUGCCGGCGCCACACUGACGCUGAGGCACGAAAGCGUGGGUAUCGAACAGGAUUAGAUACCCGAGUAGUC
RNAcentral lists this ribosomal RNA (459 nucleotides) under uncultured bacterium. RNAcentral's name for it is "partial 16S ribosomal RNA". It matches the Rfam family "Bacterial small subunit ribosomal RNA", at positions 338 to 795 of the family's 1533-position model. The record is from RNAcentral.